RNAcentral lists this non-coding RNA (957 nucleotides) under Cobitis delicata (Ajime loach). RNAcentral describes it as "Niwaella delicata 12S rRNA". It matches the Rfam family "Bacterial small subunit ribosomal RNA". Lineage: Eukaryota; Metazoa; Chordata; Actinopteri; Cypriniformes; Cobitidae. The record is from RNAcentral.
CAAAGGCUUGGUCCUGACUUUAACAUCAGCUUUAGCCCAAUUUACACAUGCAAGUCUCCGCAGACCCGUGAGAAUGCCCUCAAUCCCCCGCCCGGGGACGAGGAGCAGGUAUCAGGCACAAAUUUUAGCCCAAGACGCCUUGCCAUGCCACACCCCCAAGGGAACUCAGCAGUGAUAAAUAUUAAGCCAUAAGUGAAAGCUUGACUUAGUUAGAGCUAACAGGGCCGGUAAAACUCGUGCCAGCCACCGCGGUUAUACGAGAGGCCCUAGUUGAUGAACACGGCGUAAAGGGUGGUUAAGGUUUAGUUCAAAUAAAGCCAAAAGACCUCUUGGCUGUUAUACGCCCCUGAGUGCCCGAAGCCCAUAUACGAAGGUAGCUUUAAUAUUAGCCCACCUGACCCCACGAAAGCUGAGAAACAAACUGGGAUUAGAUACCCCACUAUGCUCAGCCAUAAACCUAGACGUUACUUCACAUAAACGUCCGCCAGGGUACUACGAGCAUUAGCUUAAAACCCAAAGGACUUGGCGGUGCCUUAGACCCCCCUAGAGGAGCCUGUUCUAGAACCGAUAACCCCCGUUAAACCUCACCACUUCUGGUCAACCCCGCCUAUAUACCGCCGUCGUCAGCUUACCCUAUGAAGGACUAACAGUAAGCAAAAUGAAUAUACUUCAAAACGUCAGGUCGAGGUGUAGCGAACGAAGUGGGAAGAAAUGGGCUACAUUUUCUUUAUAAAGAAACAAGAAUAUUACGAACAACACUAUGAAAUUAGUGCUCGAAGGAGGAUUUAGUAGUAAAAAGGAAAUAGAGUGUCCUUUUGAACCCGGCUCUGAGGCGCGUACACACCGCCCGUCACUCUCCCCGCUAAAUAGCGACAACUGUUAUUAACAUUUAAGCACAAGUAAGGGGAGGCAAGUCGUAACAUGGUAAGUGUACCGGAAGGUGCACUUGGAUCAAAU